Long non-coding RNA from Cyprinus carpio carpio, 3975 nucleotides. The record is from Ensembl. NCBI's taxonomy places the organism in Eukaryota, Metazoa, Chordata, Actinopteri, Cypriniformes, Cyprinidae.
GUUAAUUCAUGCGUUCAUGACCUCAAUGUUAGAUUAUUGUAAUGCUUUAUUAGGUGGUUGCUCUGCACGCAAACUCCAGCUGGUCCAAAAUGCAGCAGCUAGAGUUCUUACUAGAACCAGGAAGUAUGACCAUAUUAGCCCAGUUCUCUCAACUCUGCACUGGCUCCUUAUUGAACAACAAAUACAUUUUAAAAUCUUGCUAAUUACUUAUAAAGCCCAGAAUGGUUUAGCUCCUCAAUACUUGAGCGAGCUCAUAUCACAUUAUAGUCCUUCAUGUCUGCUGCAAACUCAAAACCCUGCCCAUUUGAUAAUACCUAUCAAAAUCAACUGCAGACGGCAGAUCCUUUUCCUAUUUACACCCAAACUCUGGAACAAUCUACCUAGCAUUGUUAGGGAGGCAGAUACACUCUGUCAGUUUAAAUCUAGAUUGAAGACCCAUCUCUUUAACUUGGCAUACACAUAAUACACUAUCACAUUUCUAUAAUUCAAAUCUGUUAAAGGAUUAUUAGGCUGCAUUAAUUAGGUCAACCGGAACCGGGAACACUUUCCAUAACAUCCGCUAUAUCAUAAGAAAAAUGGCAUCUACGCUAAUGUUACACUCUUAGAAAUGAAGCAUGGGUGUAGUUUAAUUUAGAUACUAGUUUUAUGGUAAAAUUACUAAAACUAUUAUGUUUAUAUAGUAAAAAUAAGCAAGUUUCAUUGCAUUAAAUUAAUAGUAUAAUAUUUCAAGUCUACAAAAUGUCACAGAUUCAAACCAACUUAACCAGAUCAUUUUAAACCUACUAGCGGUUGAAGAUUGUCCCAAAGCGCUUUCCGUACUUGCAAUUUCGCACAUGCACGGGACGACGCAUCCAUUUUCCACCUGUCCUUGGCCAACUUUUGUAAAUCUGUUAUCAUCCAUAAAUUAUUUGGCUCUGAAUGUGGAGGUGCAAACAGUUAAACUUAAAACUCAUUCGAAGUCGAAAUCAUGUUGAUGUUUUACAUUUAAGGACUACAGAGAGCCAGGUAAAUGCAGAAUUCACCCUCAUCACCACAGUCCCCCUGUUCUCAACCUUUAUGUCCCGACUGGAUCAUUACUAUAGCCAGCUAUUGAGGGUAUUCAAAAAGGAGGGGGGAACAGCAAGACGUGAUAUCGACGUAAUCAUUGCAGAAAUGGACAUGAAUCCCAGUGUUGAAGUACGACAGACAUGCAUCCUAAAGGCGUUGUGCGUCUACUUAAAUGAAAAGCCUGACAGCCUUAUUAAGGAGUACUGGGCUACUGAGGAUAUUGGUAUUGAUGCAAUGACAGAAAUGGAGAGACUGGCUUUGGGUGUCUACAUUGUUCGACAUGAUGGAGCAGAUGCUUCAGAUCCACCUGAGGAUGUUGGCGUCGUCAUUGAAGGCUGCACAGUGCUGCGAUCUAGUGUUUAAACUUGAGCUAUCCCAAGGAGCUGCAAUACACUUUCGAAUUUCUUCAGAAAGUGUCUAUGGAAUUGGAUGGGAACAAGCUCUCCACUAAAGUGCAGGUCCUCAAAAACAAACUGCAUGAGUAAAAUCACCUGCACCAGACAAGACUGGACCUGGCUUUGGACACUUUAAUUGUGUUGACUGUUACUUUAUUUUUGGACUGCUGCUAGACAAAAUAAAGCUGUGAUCAAUGAUGGUUUGUAAUAAGCAGACAGGACUGCAGUUGGUCAUCGACUUGCUUGGGGAGGCUCAGUUCUUUGGAUUUUGGACUGCUGCUAGACAAAACAUCUAGCAAUCUAAAGACAAUGUUGGUUGUGGUAAUUGGCAUUUAAACUUCUCUUGUUUUCUGAUUUCUUCAGAAUCAAAAGAUGUGAAAUACAACAAACACUGGUUUGUUAUAAUGAAACCAUCUCAAACAAUUUAAGGUGAAGAUUGUUUUUUGUUACGUAAACAUUGCUGAUUUUCUAUUUCUCCUGUUGAUGCAAACUAUAAACCUUGUAUUUUUCAUAAAAAUGUUCUUGAUAAGUCAGCAUGUAUGUAAAGUCUGAACUUAGUAUGUUCUAACGGUGAAGUGAGAAUUUUCUGCAGCAUGAAUCCUCUUGAUUGUAAACUUCAGUUAAUUUAACCUCCCUCCAUAUAGAAAACAAGGAUUUGCCUCUUUAGUUUUUAUUUCAGUAGGCAACACCUGUUAGACAUUGUUGACGUCAAAGUUCAGAUUUACUAUAAAGCUGUAAUGGGAUUGAACAUUAUCGGAUGGUGAAAGAUUCACAGACAAGUUUUAUAUUUUAGAUUUUUUUUUUUUUUUUUAUAGUGGUCUAUUCUUUGCACAUUUUUGGAAUUCAUCCUUUUGAUGGGAAUUGAAACAUGUGAAGUGCUAAAGUCUACUGAGGCCUCAAGGUAAAAAAAAAAUAUUUGUUUAAAAAUAUAUUUUUGUUCUUGGCAGGAGUUUGGCUCUCAAAAUUUCAACUAAAAUGGAAUGGUUAAAUAUAUUAGGCUACUGCAUAUACAUGAUUAUUUAGGCUCAUUGUGUUUCUGACAGUUUAAAAAAAGAAGGAUAAAUUACUGUAUAUCUCAUUGUCCCAAUGCCAAUGAUGUAUUUUGUGAUAAAAUUUGAUGAGACACAUCAAAUGAAAUCUGGCACAUAGUGGACAUGCAGUGCAACAAUCAUUUUUCCAUAUAUUUGAAAGUCAUGUUAGUCCGAGUUGUCAAAUUGUUUUUUUUUUCCUUGAGAAAAGUUUAUAGUUAAAGGAGUUUAUUAAGCUAAAAAACAAUAAGGAUUUGCCUCUAUUUUUUAUUGCGGCAGGCAAUACAUGUUAAACAUUCUUGAUGUUGUCAAAGUUCAGAUUCACUUUUGGGACUAUAAAGCUAUAAUGGGAUUUAACAUUAUCAGAUGGUGAAAGAGAUUCACAAACAAGUUUUAUAUUUUUGAAUUAUUAUUUAUAUUGAUCUAUUUGCAUUUUAUACGUGGAUUUAUGUUGGUGUCUUCAAUUGUAUUUGUACACUUUGUAUUCGUAUGUAAGUUUUGCUUACAUAUUUGUAAUAAUUUUAUCAGUCAUGAUAAUCCCAGAUAUAGUAAUGUACCUUGAAGGUCAAAAUUACUUUUUGACUUAAUUAUAUUUCAAAACCAAAGGUGAAUAAAGUUAAUUAAAGUGACUUGAGUAGUUUUUUUUUUUUUUUUAAACCGAGCAAGUAUAAUCAACACAAAUGGAUAACAUUAGCAAAGCUUAUUUCUGUUUAAUAAAUUGAACUUAAUCAGGUAAUGUUAGUUCAAGCUAUAGUCAUUAAAUUCAAGACAAUAAUUUACAUUUAUUCAAAAUAAUUGUGUAAUGUACCAUUUAAUUAACACCGUUAUGAACGAUUUACUUAAAACAUUAUGUUACAAUUAAUUGUAUAUUACCUUUUCCAUUUAAGCAACUAAGUUUUGUGGGACCGGUUGACAUAACUUUAUUAAUUAAAUACAACAUUUCAUUUCUUAGAGUGUAGUCUCUUUCAUUCUUAUUCCGAGGUCACCAUAGCCAUACGGAUCCAGUCUGUAUCCAGAUCAGCAAGACGACCUCUACAGCCCUGAAUGUCAGGAGAGACCAUGUCAAAUAGAUGAGCACCAGAGACAGAUCCCCUGCGAAGACCAUCGGCACAAGACCAUGGGAAACGGACAAGUACUCUGCACCUGUGUUGCAGGCUGAAAUUAAACCACAACAUGCUGGUUUCGUCUGGCCAGAGGAGAACUGGCCCCCCAACUGAGCCUGGUUUCUCCCAAGGUUUUUUCUCCAUUUCUGUCACCGAUGGAGUUUUGGUUCCUUGCCACUGUCACUUUUGGCUUGCUUAGAUGGGGACGCUUGACUGAUUGCCAAGAGAGCUGAACUGGAUGAUGACAUCACUUUAGCUGGAUAAAUCACUCUGUUAUCGUCUUCUUGCAUUACUGACAAACUAUUUCCUUUUUAACACUGUAAAGCUGCUUUGACACAACCAGUAUUGUAUAAAAUGCUAUACAAAUAAAGGUGACUUGACUUGACUCUGUGGUGUACUCUG